CGCAGCUAACGCACUAAGUGCCCCGCCUGGGGAGUACGGCCGCAAGGGCUAAAACUCAAAGGAAUUGACGGGGGCCCGCACAAGCGGCGGAGCAUGCGGAUUAAUUCGAUGCAACGCGAAGAACCUUACCAAGGCUUGACAUACACCGGAAAAGUGCAGAGAUGUGCUCCCCGUAAGGUCGGUGUACAGGUGGUGCAUGGUUGUCGUCAGCUCGUGUCGUGAGAUGUUGGGUUAAGUCCCGCAACGAGCGCAACCCUUGUCCUGUGUUGCCAGCACGUAAUGGUGGGGACUCAUAGGAGACUGCCGGGGUCAACUCGGAGGAAGGUGGGGAUGACGUCAAAUCAUCAUGCCCCUUAUGUCUUGGGCUUCACGCAUGCUACAAUGGCCGGUACAAAGGGCUGCGAUACCGCGAGGUGGAGCGAAUCCCAAAAAGCCGGUCUCAGUUCGGAUUGGGGUCUGCAACUCGACCCCAUGAAGUCGGAGUCGCUAGUAAUCGCAGAUCAGCAACGCUGCGGUGAAUACGUUCUCGGGCCUUGUACACACCGCCCGUCACGUCAUGAAAGUCGGUAACACCCGAAGCCGGUGGCCCAACC
RNAcentral lists this ribosomal RNA (593 nucleotides) under Georgenia sp. m5-69. Its description in RNAcentral is "bacterial SSU rRNA". It matches the Rfam family "Bacterial small subunit ribosomal RNA", at positions 847 to 1440 of the family's 1533-position model. The record is from RNAcentral. Lineage: Bacteria; Bacillati; Actinomycetota; Actinomycetes; Allobogoriellales; Allobogoriellaceae.